ACAAUAACUCUUAUAUUAAUUUAUUUAUUUUGCCUUUUAUUCAUAAGUUUUAUGCAUAAUCUACAAAUUUUAUGUUUUAUUUUGCAUUUAAUGUUGAUUUUCUUUUUUUAUAUUAUACGUAUAAGUUUUCAUUUUAUUUACCAGUAAUACAUCUAUUUAUCAGUUUUAUAGUAAUUUACUUAUUUUACCUACCUUUUACAAUUCUUAUGUUUCAUUUCCAAAAUUUAUGUUUUAUUUUACAGUUGUUGAUGAUUUGCUAGUUUUAUGUUAUGUUUGCAAGUUUUUGUUUUGUUUACUAGUAAUAGAUUAAUGGGUAAUUUUUAAUUGAGUCCUCAUUAGUUCUAGAAAAAAAAUUCAGAGACCAGAAGUUUACUAAAUGAAUCAAUUAAAUUCUUUCAAGUACAAACUAAUGUCAUUCAAGUCCUUAACUUAAUUGCUCAGUUAAAAAUAUUAACAACGUUGAGGACAUUUUAGUAAAACAACAAUUGAGUUGUUUCUCAUUCUUUAUUUUUGACAGGUGGAAAUAGUUUAAAGUAAACUCAAUUAACCUGAUUAAGUUAAGGAUCAGUUCUUUCAAAUGAAAAAAAAAAAACCUAUAGAAAUUGCCAUAUUCUUCAUGUGAGAGGAGAGAUCGAGAGAACGUGGGAUGGUGCAAAAAAUGUUGUAUAAAUCUACUGUGAUUUUGACCAAAGCUUUGGUAGCAUUGAUUGAGUUCAAGUACUAGAGAGAACCUGAGUUUAAAGGUUAGUAACUCUAUUUUUUUAGUGAUUUCUGCAAGAAUUUUCUGAUAAAAUUUUUUCCAUAUUGAGUGAUCGUUGUGAAAAAUUAGGUUUUUCAAGUCUAUUUUUCAAAAUGACAAACUAUGUUUAAUUAUUGAUGGAUUCUUUUUUUUGUUCAAUGUUGUAUUUUGUUAAUUUGUUGUUUUUAAUUUGCUCUUUAUGUAAUUGUUAGACCAAAUACACCAUUAUUAUACCUGUAUUCAUUUCAACAAUUUGGUAUCGUUAUAUUAAUAAGAUUGAAUUCAUUGUAUUGGCUUCUUUGUUCAUGUAAAAUUGAAUUCUAUGUAUUCUUAUGAGUGAUAAUUUUUCUAUCUAUUAGACUAAAGUCACUAUAUUCACUACUUUCUUUCUUUUUGCUGGGCUAUUUUUUCUUUUUAGUUUAUAUUUUUUAUAUGUAUUAGAUUGAAUUUGCUUUUGUACAUUUUUUAGCCGAAUUACAUGUAUAUUUCAUUUAGGUUGAGUUUUUUUGUUGUUUGCUAAAUAAAAUUAUAUUGGUUUAUCCUUUUUUGAUGCAAUACUUUUUGUUUAAAAUUAAUGCAGGUAGCCAUGUUACCCUUUUUUGGGUUAAAAUUAAUGGGGUGAUGUAUGCGAUAAGAUUAUUAGGCUGUUUCUUGAAAUUCAAGAUGCCAUGAUUAAGCAUGGACACAGUGAAAUGGAUUUGAUUGAAAUUUCUGUUGUAUUGCCAUGGACUACAAGUAGGCAGAGGAAGCUAAUUUCAAACGAUAGUGAAUUGUAUUGGGUUUUCGAGGAGUUUUUUUUUAUCAAUAGUUGUCCUACAUUGAGUUUGAGGUGCACACUAGGUCAGGUGGUCAGUCAUUUCAUGAAAGUGUUGUAAUAGGACCUAAAAAUCCUGUCAAUAUUAAAAUUAGUGUUGUAAUAGUGAUAAGUUUGAAAUUCCUGUAGCUAAAAAGGGCCUGCCUAGAAUAAUUGGUACUUUUUUAUUUGCCUCAAAGUCCAACACUAUGAAAUCCACUAGGAAAAAGAAUUUAUCCACUUUAAUCGGCACGUCUUCAAUCUUGCCUUCAGGAUAAGCAUGAGAUCUGGCAGCACAUUGCAAUGUCACUGUGGUUGGUCUGACUUCUCCAACUCCCAAUUGCUUGAAUUAUGAUAAUGUCAUAAGAUUGAUGCUUGCUCCCAAAUCACAAAGUGUAUUGCCACUGUAUUUAGUUCCUAUGGAAUAAUGAAUUGUGAUACUUCUUGGAUCCUUUAACUUCUGAGGUAUUUUACUCUGAAGCAUAUGGCUGUAUUCUUAUGUUAGACCAACUAUUUCAAAUUCUCCAAGCCUCAUUUUCCUUGCCAAUAUACAUUUCCAAAACUUUACAUAAUUUGGCAUUUGUUCUAAUACUUCCACAAAAGGAAUGUUGAUAUGCAGUUGUUUCAAUACUUUCAAGAAUUUACUGAACUGCUUGUCUUGCUUUCGCUUUUGAAAUCUUUGUGGGAAGGGUGGUGGAUGUGUAAAUUGUUGUACUGUAGCAGACUAUACAGAUUGCUUUUCUCUUGCUCUAUUAUGGUAUGUUAUUGUUGGUGCUGCAGCUUCUUCCUCAACAAGCACUGAAUCAUGUUUUUUUGCAGUUGCUAUAGCUUAGCAACUCUCACUAGUGUGCUGGAAAAUGGGUUGUUGUGUCUCUUCUUUAAUUUGAGUUUCCCCUUGGGUUGAAUUAGGUUCCACUCUUUUUUUUGGUACUUUAACAAGAAUAUGGACAUCCUUUCCAGACUUUAAGUUAAUCCCCUUACAAUGCUCUUUUCCUUCUCUCUUUGGAUCCUCUAUAUUGUUUAGUAAAUUAUCCUGAGGUAUGUUGCUCAAUGCUGUAGCAAGCUGUCCAAUCUUAUUCUCCAAGUUUCUUAAAAAUACAGCUUGGCUUUAGACCACUACUUCAAUCUUCACAAUAUACUCCUUAAUCAGAGUUUCAAGGGAACUAAAUUGAUCAUUACUGGUGUUUCUUUACCCUUAAAAUUGCUGGUGAAAACCAGGUGGCUGAGCAAGUCUGUUAUGUCCACUGGAUGCUGCAGCAUGCUGAUUCUGAUUGCUCCAUGAAAAAUUUAGGUGAUGUCUCCAUCCAAUGUUAUAGGUGUUUGAAAAUGGAUUGCUUGGAUUUUGUUUAUUAAAAUUGCCCACAUAAUUGACUGAAGCUGAAUUCUUAGGACAAUUAUCAUAUAGAUGUCCCUCUCUAUAAUAAACACAAGAGACUUCAGCAACUUGGUUAAAUGUUGCUGGAACAGUGGCCGUUGCUUUUACCAUAUUUGUCAAUGAGGUUACUUGGGUUGUUAAUGUUGUCAGUGCAUCCACAUUGUGUUCUCCUGCUGCUCCUCUCACUGUGGCUUGUCUAGUUGAUGGCCAUUGAUAGUUAUCCUUUCCAAAAUUUCAUAAGCCUCAUUAUAUGAGUUAGACAAUAAAGCCCCUAGUGCUUGAGUUCAACCCAUUGUAGAAAGUUUCCAAUUGUAUGCAAUAAGGAAUACCAUGAUGAGGGCAUCUCCUGAGUAACUCCUUGAAUCUUUCUCAUGCAUCAUACAAGCUUUCAUCUUCAAGUUGAUGGAAAGAUGUGAUCUCAUUCUUCAACUUUGCAUUCUUUGUUGGUGGGAAAUAUUUCAUCAAAAUUUUGUCAGCCAAAUCAUUCCAUGUGGUGAUGGAGUCUGGUGGCAAAGAACUCCACUAUACCAACUAAAAUUGAUUUCACAAAACACAAUAAGCACCAAUCCCCGGCAACGGCGCAAAAAACUUGCUGUCGAUUUUCUAAUGUUAUUAGUGUCAAUGUGAAAAUGUAGACAACAAGUAAUAUAACGAUAAAAAUUCAAGAUCGUCUCCACAAGGAUUAUUAUUAUAGGAAUUGUUACAGUAAUUUUAUCAGUGCCAUUCUUAUUAUAAAUUAGAAUUAAAACAAAUUAUUCAACUAAUGAACUAAGGCAGAUCUUAUUGGGCUAGUCGGCAAUGUGUUGCUUUAGGUCGUGUGGAAUAGUUGCGGGAGUGAUCUUGCAUGAUGUGUGGAGCUAUAACAGUGCUGAGCAUGGGCCAAUCUAUGGGCUCAUGGAACUAGCGAACCUAUUCUAGAAUUUCGAGGAAGAGUACUCUGGUUAGUACUCUAAAUUACCUUAUUAUAUUUUGCACAAACAGAGGCAUGUUAGUGAAAUAAUAUCUAACCAACCCAAGAGGGGGGUGAAUUAGGUUUCUAAAAAUUAUGCAAUUCUUAAUCAAAACUUAAUGCAAAUCUUAAACGAAUCUAAAGCAAUAAUAAAUAAAUCAACCAAAAUAUAAAAAGAUAAAGGAAGAGAGAUUAAAACACAGAGAGUUUUACGUGGUUCGGCCAACCUUGCCUACAUCCACGCCUCUAAGCACACCGAGCUUGGGCAUUCCACUAGUCAAGCCUUCAAGACUUCAAGAACACUUACAAUUGACUUCUUAGGCGUCAAUCAACCUUUACAUCUAGAGAUUAUCUCCAAUCUCUUAACCCAAGUGUAUCCCCAAUCUUUUAGAGAGAUAUGGAGAGAAUAAACUUUGAAGAUAACAAUGAAAUACAUGACACAUUUAAGGAAGAAAAUAUAAUAGUAUUAAUAGAAUCUAUUUUAACCGGUCUUAAGAUAAUUCAAGAUUGAUGCAAAAUAAAUAACAGGACUCUAAACCGUCCAUAAUAAGUCUAUUGAUUAAUAAUAACAAUAAUAGUGAUGUGAAAUUUUUUAUUCUGAAUGCUCAAUUUAGAUUAUAAUAUCUAUGUGAAAGCAUUGAUGGCAUGUACCUUGGUUGGGAAAAUAGAUUGGACACAUGGAUAUAUAUGUUGGAAGAACAAAUCUAGUUUAUAUCUCAAGAGAGACAAUAAAUUAUGAAUGCCGGUGCUAUAGUAUAUUCAGGUUUUAUAAAUCUUUAUAAAUUUAAUAAUCAUUUAGAUCUUCAUAAUAUUAUAAUAAAACUUUAAAUAUAUAUGUAGAAGAGAUGGAAGAAGAAAUCAUCCAGUUAUUCAAAAUCAAUUAAACAAAAAUAGAAGGUAAAAUCCUUGAAUUAUAUAAAUUAUACAAUUUCACAUAAAUUUUGCAUAUAUUGCAAAACGGUCCUUGUGGCACUAAUUAUGGGACUAGUGUAGCAUAAAUACUAAUAUUGCUUUUUAUUUUGUAAAUUAAUUGUUGCGUCAUAAUUUUUUUACAUACAAAUUUUAUGUUUUAAAAUAUGAUUUUUUUUUGUAUUUAGGGUUAAUUUUACAAUUUCAUACUUUGUUCAAUUAUAUGUACAAGUCCUUAACGUGUUGGUUGAUGUUGAAUAUUCAAAGAUCCACAAGCUAUCAACGACAACGAAUCAAAUUAAACUAAUUUGUUAAUACAUAAUGACUAGGUUGUUUCCUAUGCUUGUUAAUGAUGUAGGACGUUAUUUUAGGAUUUUAGAAUUUUAAUUUUUAGGUCUUCUGAUAUUUUCUUUUUUAAUUAAAGUAAGUGUCUUAGUUUUCUUUUAUUUAUGUUAUAAUUAUAAUUUACUUUCUCUUUUUAAGCUAACUUAGGAAAAUAUAUUUACUGUAUUAUAAAUAAAGAGAUCUUGUUAUUACUUUAUAACUUCAAUUUUAGUUAUUCAAUUAAAAACCCCUCUUUUAUAAUUUCCUUUUGUAUUAUCUAUUAAAAACCCCUCUUUUAAAGUUGUUUGAUUAGAGCAUCAUCUAGCUUUGCUUAACGCAGUAUUAAAAAUCCCUUUGAGUUUAAUCACACUUCGAUUAGAGCGUAACUUUAUCGCAUUGACUUGAUCCAGUACUUGAACGAUAUCUACUGUUUUGCUUCUGCUAUGCCCAAGGAGAAAAUUAAUUUCACCGUGAGAUAAGAGCAUUAAAAGGAAUUCAUAAGAAAUUUAAAUUAAAGCUAUGUUAAAUAUAUCGCUAGCUACUUGUUUUUGGAGGAAUUAAAACAAUUAAUAAGCUGCGAAGUGAAAAUGAAUAAAUAAAUGAAAUGACGUUGAAAAUAAGUCUCGCCGCCUGGAUCCAAGGCCAAAACAUUCAUGAUAAGUUAGGUAAUUAAGUACAUGUUUUCAAGCUCUUCAUGAAGAAUAACGUUAUUGAAAUAAAUCACAAAGACCCCUGCGCAAAUUAUUACAUUGAUUAAAAAACAAAAAAGCCAUAUCUUUAACAGGAUCGUGACUCUCGGACUGUUAAUUACUUUAUUCCCUGCUUGGCCAACAGCUGGCCACUAAACAAAAUCAUAUAAAUUUUAAAUUUAGUCAAAUUGGUCCCACUUGAUGACAUCCUUUUCAUACAUAAAAUUGUUUAACGUCAAGGUUAAAUAUGAGAAGUUUGUAGAGAAGGUAAAAAGGAAGUCUAUAUAAGGAGGGGAACGAGCUUUGUUUAUAGCACAAGUGAAACUCCACUUUAUUGAACGAUGGGGUCUCAAAUGGGCUGCCUCUUUGCCACUCUUUUGGUAGUAUCAGUCUCUCUUAGCUACUUGCCGUUAGAAGCCUCCGCAAACAAAUACUACUACACAUCUCCUCCCCCUCCCAAGUACAAGUCUCCACCACCCCCGCCACCGGUUCACAAUUCUCCACCACCACCCCCUGUUUACCUGCCCCCGCCACCUCCUCCACCAGUCUACGUGCCUGCUCCGGCACCAACUCCAAUUUCCUAUUCCCCGCCACCUCCUGUCCCCAAGUCCCCACCACCACCUCACCCUUACGUCUAUGCAUCUCCCCCUCCUCCUUACUACUACUAGAAAGCGGCCAUGAAUAGCUCAUGCUUUUAUGGUAAUCUCAUUUAUUUUUAAAACUGUACAUGUAAAGACUAGUAGUUCAGAAUUACAUUAAGCAUUUCAAUUUUAAGCACCGUGUUCUGUUUAAUUGCGUUCCUAUUGAUUAAGUGACAAAUAAAAGAGAUUGAUUAAUUUGUUCUUGUAGGAGAGGCGAAUGGUAUCCGAAUAAAGAAAGCAAGGGUUUGAUGGAAGGCUUACUUGGAGCAAGAUAGCGAUCAAUCGAGUUGCUGCGUUUUAUUCUCUUUUAUCUUUGUUUUUUAAGAAAAAUAAACUGCCACGCGUAGAAACAGAAAAUUAAGUUCUUGUCAUUUUCAUGCAUAUGGAUUGUUGAUGUGUGUGUCAAUCAAAUCUCCGGUGUGUCAUUUGUAAUUUUCAACCUUUAUGCAUGCAAAUGGGAGACCUCUUACGUAUAAUAAAAUUAAUAUACUUCCCAAGAUGGUCUUAUCUUGCGUUGACUUUUUACGUUCCUUUGGUGAUGAUUUUGAAUGCCAAAAGCGUGGUCAUGGAUUUUUCGUGCAACUACAGAGCACAUUAACGAGAGACUUAUCCAUGAGGGUCCAUGCAGAUCAGUGUCUAAUUAACCAAUAAUUAAUAUAACUUAAAAAAUAUAGAGUUAACAAUUUUUAUGGGUCAGGCUCAAUUAUAGAUGUUCGUACAAAAUUUCUUGCUAAUGUAUACUUGAGUAUGAUAAUAAGUUUUAAUCAUUAUUAGUAAUUCACUUGAUAAUAUUAAACAAAUUUUCAUAUCAAUUAAGUUACAAAAUUUCUGUGACAAAUUUCCACGUACUGGAACCAUGCAAAAGGGCUUUGUUCAAACAGAGCUGCAUAGCCGUUGGCAAUUAAAAUUAUUUAUCAAUAAAGUUAAGUAGUAAGAAUUGGAUUGUGGAUUCCAUUAAUUAUUUCAAGGAAAAUUUUAUAGAUAAUGCCGUAAUGAAAUUUACGGCAUCAAUAUCAUGAUAAAUAUAAAUAUUGUAAAUUACAAAUAGAAUUAGUAAAUGUAAAGUAAAACCAGUAAAUUCAUAAAAGAUUAUUAAUUAUUUAAAAAAUUAACAUUGUUUCUACAUAAUUUUAGUGAAAAAUAUUUUAUUCAUUUACAAAAAAAAAUUCUUUAAUUAAACAAAAAAAAUUCAUUAAUUAAGCAAAAAAAUUAUACUGAAAAAAAAGUGGAAUAAGUUUUUUUAUCAGUGGUGUGGACUUUGUAAACUUUUCAUCCUUAAUUAAACAUCACAUGUAUUAUAGAAAUGCAAAACUACCAUUGUUAUAUUUAAAUUAAAAAAUAAUAAAUAUAUAAGGUAAUAAACAUUAUAACGAGUUUUUAUUUUAAAAUUGUAAACUUUUAUUUCUGACAAUAACUCUUAUAUUAAUUUAUUUAUUUUGCCUUUUAUUCAUAAGUUUUAUGCAUAAUCUACAAAGUUUAUGUUUUAUUUUGCAUUUAAUGUUGAUUUUCUUUUUUUAUAUUAUACGUAUAAGUUUUCAUUUUAUUUACCAGUAAUACAUCAAUUUAUCAGUUUUAUAGUAAUUUACUUAUUUUACCUUCCUUUUAUAAUUCUUAUGUUUCAUUUCCAAAAUUUAUGUUUUAUUUUACAGUCGUUGAUGAUUUACUAGUUUUAUGUUAUGUUUGCAAGUUUUUGUUUUGUUUACUAGUAAUAGAUUAAUGGGUAAUUUUUAAUUGAGUCCUCAUUAGUUCUAGAAAAAAAAUUCAGAGACCAGAAGUUUACUAAAUGAAUCAAUUAAAUUCUUUCAAUUACAAACUAAUGUCAUUCAAAUCCUUAACUUAAUUGCUCAGUUAAAAAUAUUAACAACGUUGAGGACAUUUUAGUAAAACAACAAAUGAGUCGUUUCUCAUUCUUUAUUUUUGACAGGUGGAAAUAGUUUAAAGUAAACUCAAUUAACCUGAUUAAGUUAAGGAUCAGUUCUUUCAAAUGAAAAAAAAACCUACAGAAACUGCCAUAUUCUUCGUCUGAGAGGAGAGAUCGAGAGAACGUGGGACGGCGCAAAAAAUGUUGUAUAAAUCUACUGUGAUUUUGACCAAAGCUUUGGUAGCAUUGAUUGAGUUCAAGUACUGGAGAGAACCUGAGUUUAAAGGUUAGUAACUCUAUUUUUUUAGUGAUUUCUGCAAGCAUUUUCUGAUAAAAAUUUUUCCAUAUUGAGUGAUCGUUGUGAAAAAUUAAGUUUUUCAAGUCUAUUUUUCAAAAUGACAAACUAUGUUUAAUUAUUGGUGGAUUCUUUUUUUUGUUCAAUGUUGUAUUUUGUUAAUUUGUUGUUUUUAAUUUGCUCUUUAUGUAAUUGUUAGACCAAAUACACCAUUAUUAUACCUGUAUUCAUUUCAACAAUUUGGUAUUGUUAUAUUAAUAAGAUUGAAUUCAUUGUAUUUGCUUCUUUGUUCAUGUAAAAUUGAAUUCUAUGUAUUCUUAUGAGUGAUAAUUUUUCUAUCUAUUAGACUAAAUUCACUAUAUUCACUACUUUCUUUCUUUUUGCUGGGCUAUUUUUUCUUUUUAGUUUAUAUUUUUUAUAUGUAUUAGAUUGAAUUUGCUUUUGUGCGUUUUUUAGCCGAAUUACAUGUAUAUUUCAUUUAGGUUGAGUUUUUUUGUUGUUUGCUAAAUAAAAUUAUAUUGGUUUAUCCUUUUUUGAUGCAAUACUUUUGUUUAAAAUUAAUGCAGGUAGCCAUGUUACCUUUUUUUCGGUUAAAAUUAAUGGGGUGAUGUAUGCGAUAGGAUAUAGGGAACCAGAGGAAUAUAAGAUUAUUAGGCUGUUUCUUGAAAUUCAAGAUGUCAUGGUUAAGCAUGGACACAGUGAAAUGGAUUUGAUUGAAAUUUCUGUUGUA
RNAcentral lists this long non-coding RNA (9305 nucleotides) under Citrus x clementina. RNAcentral describes it as "Citrus clementina (C. clementina) long non-coding RNA (CCLE_LNC004344)". The stretch from base 3233 to 3339 matches the Rfam family "Plant small nucleolar RNA R71". The record is from RNAcentral. Lineage: Eukaryota; Viridiplantae; Streptophyta; Magnoliopsida; Sapindales; Rutaceae.